Molecule: long non-coding RNA, 458 nt
Filed under: Vitis vinifera (wine grape)
Lineage: Eukaryota; Viridiplantae; Streptophyta; Magnoliopsida; Vitales; Vitaceae
Description: long non-coding RNA (VVIN_LNC000840)
Source: RNAcentral
CAGAGAUAUGGGUUGAGGCACCGGAAAUAGAGGUGAGAGAGCAAGACAAAACACAACUUACUUAAAACCCAAUAGAUAAGGUGAGCAGAGCCAUAGUGGGAUCCUCUUUCAUGUUGAAAUCAAGGGUUCCCCAACCAGUGGUGCAACAAGACAAGUCAUAACAAAUAUCAAGAUGAAAGCAUCAACAAAAUUCCAUCAUAGGAGUGAGCCAUAUUCAGAUAAACAAUGUAAGAGAAAAGUAAUACGUCAUCACAUGCUCAAACAAUCACCCAAUGCUCAGAAAAUCAGAGAUAACCAUAGAAAAAAAAAAGAUAGAAGAUCAAAGAAAACAGAGUCCUGAGUGGAAAUGAUAAAAAAAACUACAUCAAACGUACCUGGAACUGCCCUCUCAGAUUUCCUUUUCUUCCUUGUUACCCUAGACUCGUCUUCCAAAUGCCUGAGUUCCUUCUUCUCUCAAG